UACGGGGGGGGCAAGCGUUGUUCGGAAUUACUGGGCGUAAAGGGCUCGUAGGCGGCCAACUAAGUCGGAUGUGAAAUCCCCAAGCUUAACUUGGGAACUGCAUCCGAUACUGGAUGGCUUGAAUCCGGGAGAGGGAUGCAGAAUUCCAGGUGUAGCAGUGAAAUGCGUAGAUAUCUGGAGGAAUACCGGUGGCGAAGGCGGCAUCCUGGACCGGCAUUGACGCUGAGGAGCGAAAGCUAGGGGAGCAAACGGG
This 253-nucleotide ribosomal RNA is filed under the name uncultured bacterium. RNAcentral's name for it is "partial 16S ribosomal RNA". It matches the Rfam family "Bacterial small subunit ribosomal RNA", at positions 524 to 776 of the family's 1533-position model. The record is from RNAcentral.